CGCGUAGGCGGUUCGAUAAGUCGGGUGUGAAAGCCCUGGGCUUAACCUGGGAAUUGCAUUCGAUACUGUCGAGCUAGAGUAUGGUAGAGGAAAGCGGAAUUCCACAUGUAGCGGUGAAAUGCGUAGAUAUGUGGAGGAACAUCAGUGGCGAAGGCGGCUUUCUGGACCAAUACUGACGCUGAGGCGCGAAAGCGUGGGGAGCAAACA
This 207-nucleotide ribosomal RNA is filed under the name uncultured bacterium. Its description in RNAcentral is "partial 16S ribosomal RNA". It matches the Rfam family "Bacterial small subunit ribosomal RNA", at positions 568 to 774 of the family's 1533-position model. The record is from RNAcentral.